RNAcentral lists this long non-coding RNA (4954 nucleotides) under Homo sapiens (human). RNAcentral describes it as "long non-coding RNA NONHSAT169020.1". The record is from RNAcentral. Lineage: Eukaryota; Metazoa; Chordata; Mammalia; Primates; Hominidae.
CCUGACCUCAGGUGAUCCACCCGCCUCGGCCUCCCAAAGUGCUGGAAUUACAGGCGUGAGCCACCGCGCCCUGCCAAGCAACGUCACUUAUUACCCCUGCUGACUUGGGAGCAAAUGUCACAUAUAAAUUCCCCCACGUGCGGAGGUGUUUCCCUUUCCUUGCUGUGUCUGCAUUCGACAGCAGCCACGCUAAGCGGCUGGACCAAAUGGAGCAUCAUAACGUGUUAUUUUAUUUUAUGAUUUUAUUUUAUGUUUUUUGAGACAGAGUCUCGCUCCUCCCGUCCACCUGCCGGCGCUCCUGGGGCUUCGGGCCACGGCUGUCUCCUCCGGGAGCGGCGGCGCUGUAGGAAGCCUGGUCCUCUCCCUCAGCGGUCACAGCCAUCGCUCGCGUACGCCCCCGGACUGACGCCUCCCGCCGGGAGCCCUCUUCGAAUCCCGCCUGCGCAACUCCCACGCCACAGCCCUGGGCCAUCCCUGCUCCCGCGCAGCCCCGGCCGCCUGCCUCCUACCUCGCCUCCCCAAGGCCCCAGCGCGCCGGGGCUUCCCUGUCCCGGGCGCCUGCUCGUGGCGGCGGGCGGGCUCCUUGUCCGGCUCUUAAGGGCCGGCGCCGGCUCCUGGGCCUCCCCUCCUUCCCAUCGCGGCCUGCUCCUCCCACCCGCCUUCUCCGAGCUGAUGCCAAGGCCGGACGGACGCGACAAAGGCCUGCUGCCGAACGUGACCUGUCCGCAGAGUAGACAGACGGGCCCCCUGACCGCCAGACUGAGGAGACCCGGCGGGCGGGAGCGGAUGGGCGCGCCUGCGCACCCCCUCCCGGCGCUCGCCAGUCACGUGGGGCCGCGAGUGGCGCCGCUGCCGGAAGCGCCCCCCAAGGAAACGCAAGCAGUGGCGGAGCGGGGUUCCGCCUGGGCCGGGCUCUAGCGCCGGCGCUGCGCGGGAGUCAUCGCGUGCCGACUUCCGUGUUGUCGCUCUCCCCUCCCAAAAGCGCGGCCGCGAGGACGGGCGCUGCCAGCGAUUUCCUCGCCUUUGUGUCGCGGGGCUGUCCGCUGCGCGUUACUUGGUGCGAUACGCGCAUUCGGCGGUGAUCCCGAGCCCCACGCGAACCUCCCUGUGUCCUUGCUAGUGCCUGGCGCCGUCACUGACGCUGAGGCGUGAACACGGAGUCGGCCCAGAGGGGCUGUUCUCCCGGACGCCGAGGCCACCCCACGCGGCCGCAGGGCCGGGCAGAGGGGAACUGCAGGGAGGCGCGGGCCGCAUCCCUCCCGGAGGUCUGCGAGCUUCUUGAGGCCUCACGCCCCCUUUUGAGCCCCGCUGCUGCCCUGUGGCGCUGCUUCUCCAUCCCUGCGGGUGACCAUCGACGCGUUCCCCUUGCUCGCUUCUUGGUUACGGGCCAGGGGAUACUCCUGCCCGACCCUCGGCAUUGCCCAAGGGAGUUUGCACUUCCCACUGUGCUCUGCCAAGCCUCUGUGGAGAGGAGCCCUCCACCUGCCUGACCGGGCCCAGCUUUGGGGAAGACCUUCUUGGUUUUGUCUGCUGGCUGGACUGACCCUGGCCCUCAGCCCAGGUGAGGCGACCAGCGGCAUGAUGCCCGGGUGGAACACGGAUUUCUCUCCAGGGUGGCCGAAGAAUGGUUUAGAAGCAGCAGUGGGAUGAGGGAGAAUCCCGACCCCGUCUCAAAAGGUGAAGAUACGUCAGGUCUGGGGGAAAAAUAUCCCUACUCUAGAGGGCUAAGAGAGCUUGGUUUGGUGCAAAUCUGAGAAUCCCUCAACACUUUAAUUUCUUUAAUCCUGCUAACAGUUAACAACUUCCUACAGGCUGACACCUCAGGAAUAAGCUCCUUCACCUGCGUUCCCUCUGUUUCCUCUAUUCUUUCCUCCAAUCCUUAAUUUUUUUUUUUUUAGAUGGAGUCUCACUCUUGCCCAGGCUGGAGUGCAGUGGCAUGAUCCCGGCUCACUGCAACCUCCACCUCUCGGGUUCAAGCAAUUCUGCAUCAGCCUCUCGAGUAGCUGGGAUUACAGGCGCCUGCCACCACACCCGGCUAAUUUUUGUAAUUUUAGUAGAGACAGGGUUUCACCAUGUUGGCCAGGCUGGUCUUGAACUACUAACCUCAAGUGAUUCACCCACCUCAGCCUCCCAAAGUGCUGGGAUCAGAGGCUUUUUUUUUCCUUUUGAGAUGGAGUUUCACUCUGUUGCCCAGGCUGGAGUGCAGUGGCGUGAUCUCGGCUCACUGCAAUCUCCGCCUCCUGGGUUCCAGUGAUUCUCAUGUCUCAGCUUCCCAAGUACAAGUAGUACUUCCCAAGUAACUACAAGUGCCACUUGUAUUUUUAGUAGAGAUGGAAUUCUGCCAUGUUGGUCAAACUGGUCUGGAACUCCUGGCCUCAAGUGAUCCGCCCACCCUGGCCUCCCAAAGGGGAUUACAGGCAUGAGCUACCACACCAGCCUCCUCCAAUCCUUUCUAAAAAGCAAGUUUAACCAUGUCACUCAUUUGCUUAAAAUCUAGGCCAGGUGUGGUGGCUCACAUGUAUAAUCCCAGCACUUUGGGAGGCUGAGGCAGGAGGAUUGCUUGAGCUCAGGAGUUGGAGACCAGCCAGGGUGGGCAACAUUGUGAGCCCCCAUCUCUAAAAAAUAAAUAAAUAAAAACUUUGUUAACUAUAGGAUGGAUGGAUACGUAGAUGGAUAAUGUAUCAGAAGCACUUUUGGCUUCACAGCAGAAACUCCAAGUGUGGUGAUUUGAACCAAUAGGGAUUUAUUUUUCUCCCAUAACAGGAAUCCUGGAGGUAGAUGUGACUGGCAUUACUUCAGCAGCCCAGUGCUGUAAGGGCCAGCAAUUGCAGGGACAGGCUUUGCAAUUCUGUGACUUUCCCUCAUGGUCACAAAAGGAUUGCCACAGCUCCAGACAUCACACCAUGUUCUGGCUGUAAGAAUGGGGAAAUGAUAGUUACAGAGAUGUUUAUCUCUUUAUUAUGAAAGCAAAAUUCUCAGAGGCUCCCCAGUAGGCUUCUAUGUACAUCGUACAUGGCUGAGCAGUGCCAUGAUCUGUCAGUCUGUCGCCUGCAUGCUGGAGAAGGAAGACAGCCAUGGUGUCAUUAGUCUGAGUCCAAGGCCCGAGGGCAGGAGAAGAUGGCCAUCCCAGCUCAAACAGAAGCAAAUUCUUCUUCCACCUUUUUGUCCUUUUCAGGCCCUCAGAUUGGACAGUGCUCACCCACACUGGUGUGGGUGGGUCUUCUGUACGCAGUUUACUAUACUAAUUCAAGUGCCAACUUCUUCCAGAAACGCCCUCACAGACACACCCAGAAAUCACAUUUACCAGCUAUCUGGGCACCCCCUUGCCCAGUCAAGUUGACAUAAAAUUAACCAUCCACCAUGUGACAACUGAGGCAGAGCUCGAAGUGCUGCAGCUUCAAGCUGAGGAAAGCAGGACUGUGACCCCACACCAGAUGCUGCUAGGAGAGCAGCGAGGGAGGGGCCUCCUCUCAGCCUUCAGAGGAAGCGCAGCCCUGUGGCACCUUGCCAUCCGGCCUCCAGAGCUGUGUGAAUGCAUUUCUGCCAUUUGUAGCAUGCAAUUUGUGGUCCUUUGUUACGGCAGUGGAACCCCAGCGCAGCCCCCGACCACAGUGUCUGGGCAAGUGGGAGGGAGGGGGUAGACAAGCAACCAGAUCCCACAGUUGGGUUUUGCUUAGUGAUUCCAAAGAGAGACCCAACCAAGGGCCCAGGCUUCUACCCCUGGGCUUUCAAGGAAGUGACAGAAGCUACACAGCUUGGCCAGGCGCGGUGGCUCACGCCUAUAAUCCCAGCACUUUGGGAGGCCAAGGCAGAUGUUUGAGACCAGCCUGGCCAACGUGGUGAAACCCCAUCUCAGCCAAACAUGCAAAAAUCAGCCGGGUGUGGUGGCACAUGCCUGUGAUCCCAGCUACUCAGGAGGCUGAGGCAGGAGAAUCACUUGAACCAGAGGCAGAGGUUACAGUGAGCCAAGAUUGCACCCCUGUAUUCCAGCCCAGGUGACUGAGCGAGAGUCCUAUAAGCUACACAGCUCUGGCAGCCUCAUGUCAUACCCUCUCCUGUCCUACCUACAAGAGGGGAGGGAAUUCAGAGCACAUAUCCUGAUAGGCAAAAUGCAGUGAUUCCCACCCCUGUCACCCCUGAAGCAGCGAGGGUGUGCAUUUGAAAUGCUUGCAGGUGAGGACUCUGGCAUCUCACCCCCCAGCUGGGAGCCAGCCAAGCUACAUUCCCUGCAGACAGUCCUGCUGUCUCCCUGGGAGCAGAGCGAUCCUUGGGGCUGGGCUUAUUGUCCCCGAAGGUGGGCUGUCCAGAUGAACGUGGAGACGAUGCCCACCACCUUGGGUAUUUCCGAAUGUGGGAGCCCAUGAGAGCAGCAGGCACCAAACUAGUAAGGAGGCAGGCAGGGUGGCAGGCCUGGGGCGAGAACGCCCUGGGUGGGGCCUGCAGAAACUGGAGCUCUCUCCUUCGAACUCAUUUAGAGGUGCAGGCAGGGGUCAGGGAGUAGACCAGGGGCCGAGGUGCCCGGAGGCCAGCCAUGUAGGGCCGUGAGGCUGGUGAGGUUUGAGAGUCAGGGACCCUGACCUUCACGCCCUUUCUCAGGGCCCUGGGAGGGACCCCAGAAAUGUACUUGCAGAGUCAUGUGACAUAAUUUACAUACCUUAAAUAAAUACACAUAUCUCUACAUUUCUCUCCAUACCAUCUGUCCAUCUAUCUACAGUCUGCCAGGGCUGCCAAAACAAAAUACUACAGCCUGGGCAGCUUAAACAAUGGAUUUUUUUCUUUUUUUGAGGCAAGGUCUUACUCUGUUGCCCAGGCUGGAAUGCAGGGGUGCGAUCUCGGCUCACUGCAACCUCUGUCUCCUGGGUUCAAGUGAUUCUCCCACCUCACCCUCCCCAGUAGCUGGGACUACAGGUGCCCACCACCAUGCUCGGCUAGUUUUUGUAUUUUUGGUAGAGAC